RNAcentral lists this ribosomal RNA (465 nucleotides) under uncultured bacterium. Its description in RNAcentral is "partial 16S ribosomal RNA". It matches the Rfam family "Bacterial small subunit ribosomal RNA", at positions 338 to 795 of the family's 1533-position model. The record is from RNAcentral.
CCUACGGGUGGCAGCAGUGGGGAAUAUUGCGCAAUGGGCGAAAGCCUGACGCAGCGACGCCGCGUGAGGGAUGAAGGUCUUCUGAUCGGAAACCUCUGUCAGCAGGGAAGCAAGGUCCCUGUGCUAAUCAGCCGUGAAUUGACGCUACCUGCAAAGGAAGCACCGGCUCACUCCUUGCCAGUAGCCGCGGUAAUACGGAGGGUGCGAGCGUUAAUCGGAAUUACUGGGCGUAAAGCGCUCGUAGGCGGGAGGUCAAGUCAAGGGGGAAAUCCCCGCGCUCAACGUGGGAACUGCCUUUGAAACUGGCAAACUGGAGUGUGUGAGAGGAGAGUGGAAUUCCAGGUGUAGGAGUGAAAUCCGUAGAUAUCGGGAGGAACAUCAGUGGCGAAGGCGACUAGCUGGCACACAACUGACGCUGAGGAGCGAAAGCGUGGGUAGCAAACAGGAUUAGAUACCCGGGUAGUC